CGGAUGUGUGCAUUAUCUAACCGGAGUAAGGGGGGAGGUGAGCAGUGCAACGGAUGCGACGUCUGACUAUUGUGAGUGGGUCAUCCGGACUGAUGAAAACAGGUUAAUACUGAUCAAUUUUGAUGUCGGGCAGUGGCGCCGAGGUUCUCACAACUGUUCCGCUACCAUUGUGACUUUCCAUGAUGGAAGUUCAGCAAACAGCAAUAUCAUCGACACAUUCUGCGGAGAUUCUGAGGAAGCAGAGCCAGCCAUUCCAGACAUCUCCACGGCUAGUACCGGUAAUCAGCUACGACUUGUUAUCAACCACGGCAAUCUAGCUCGGCACAGGACUGAGUUCGAGCUGACAUUCACCACGAGAGAAAUAGAGACAGAGCCAGUUUUCGAUGAAAGAACCUUCGUCCCGCAAACAACACGAGAAUUCAACAGGUUUACAGCUACGGUAA
This is a long non-coding RNA of Branchiostoma belcheri (Belcher's lancelet), 443 nucleotides long. RefSeq lists it as uncharacterized. Lineage: Eukaryota; Metazoa; Chordata; Leptocardii; Amphioxiformes; Branchiostomatidae. The record is from RefSeq and is a predicted model, not a curated record. The transcript is spliced from 4 exons.